GCCAUGUUGAAUGUACCGGUUCUCGUUCGAUCCCCGCAUUCAAACAUCAUCGGGCGCGGCCAGUACUUGGGAGGUGACCACCUGGGAACACCGCGUGCCGUU
Non-coding RNA from Caerostris darwini, 102 nucleotides. The record is from the annotation of a GenBank genome assembly. NCBI's taxonomy places the organism in Eukaryota, Metazoa, Arthropoda, Arachnida, Araneae, Araneidae.